CCAGCCCGCCAGCCAGUCAGCAAGGCAGCCAGCAAGCCAAUGCCUGGCACAUGCGUUUACACACACGCGCGCACACACACACGGAGCUGAAAAUAAUCAAGUGGUGGAGGAGGAGUGGGCGGCAGCAGCGGGAGAGGAAGCGAAGACGACCCUCAGAGAGAGAAAGAGAGAAGGAAGGAGCGACUGUACGAGUCCAUGUGAGAGUAGAAGUGAAGAGAGGUCAGAGGUCAGCAGCAGCUACAGAGCCUCCAUGAAGCACCAGGACUUCCUCAACGGCACUUCAGCGGGCCACAAACCCAGAAUAGACACCCUACCACCGUUUCCUCGCAGUAAUCGGAACAGGUCAAAGGUCAGGAUUGGACAGUUCCUAGAGCUCCAGAUUCUUACAUGGAAACACAUUGACCCGUCGGUUUAGAACAAGGACGUGGCUACACUACG
This is a long non-coding RNA of Epinephelus moara (kelp grouper), 438 nucleotides long. RefSeq lists it as uncharacterized. The record is from RefSeq and is a predicted model, not a curated record. NCBI's taxonomy places the organism in Eukaryota, Metazoa, Chordata, Actinopteri, Perciformes, Serranidae. The transcript is spliced from 4 exons.